GACAAACGCUGGCGGUAUGCCUAACACAUGCAAGUCGAACGGACAGAACAGGGAAGCUUUUCGGGGUGGAACUGGAAAGUUAGUGGCGGAUGGGUGAGUAACGCGUGGACAACCUACCUUGUAAAGGGGAAUAACCUCGAGAAAUCGAAGCUAAUACCCCAUAAUAACCUUGCUUCGCAUGAAGUAAGGAGGAAAGGCGGCCUUAGCGCUGUCGAUACAAGAUGGGUCCGCGUCUGAUUAGCUAGUUGGUGAGGUAAAGGCUCACCAAGGCGACGAUCAGUAGCCGGCCUGAGAGGGUGAACGGCCACAUUGGGACUGAGACACGGCCCAAACUCCUACGGGAGGCAGCAGUGGGGAAUCUUCCGCAAUGGGCGAAAGCCUGACGGAGCAAUGCCGCGUGAGUGAAGAAGGCCUUCGGGUUGUAAAACUCUGUCCUUAUCGAAGAGAGAGUGUUGUAGUAACUGACAAUACUAGGACGGUAGAUGAGGAGGAAGCCCCGGCUAACUAUGUG
RNAcentral lists this ribosomal RNA (511 nucleotides) under uncultured bacterium. Its description in RNAcentral is "partial 16S ribosomal RNA". It matches the Rfam family "Bacterial small subunit ribosomal RNA", at positions 28 to 507 of the family's 1533-position model. The record is from RNAcentral.